CCGGAAUUGGCAGAGAUGCCUUAGUGCCUUCGGGAACUCGUGAGACAGGUGCUGCAUGGCUGUCGUCAGCUCGUGUUGUGAAAUGUUGGGUUAAGUCCCGCAACGAGCGCAACCCUUAUCCUUUGUUGCCAGCGGUUCGGCCGGGAACUCAAAGGAGACUGCCAGUGAUAAACUGGAGGAAGGGGGGGAUGACGUCAAGUCAUCAUGGCCCUUACGACCAGGGCUACACACGUGCUACAAUGGCGCAUACAAAGAGAAGCGACCUCGCGAGAGCAAGCGGACCUCAUAAAGUGCGUCGUAAUCCGGAUUGGAGUCUGCAACUCGACUCCAUGAAGUCGGAAUCGCUAGUAAUCGUGGAUCAGAAUGCCACGGUGAAUACCUUCCCGGGUCUUGGACACACCGAA
Molecule: ribosomal RNA, 404 nt
Filed under: Pantoea sp. OOR35
Lineage: Bacteria; Pseudomonadati; Pseudomonadota; Gammaproteobacteria; Enterobacterales; Erwiniaceae
Description: bacterial SSU rRNA
Rfam family: Bacterial small subunit ribosomal RNA
Source: RNAcentral